GGUGUGAGGGAGCGAUGGCGGCGGCGGCGGCUGAAACGCGGCUUUAUCUUCAACAGAUGUGCGGCUAUGAAGCUUAGCGGGGCUCAGCUCGGCGCGCGGCCGUCCAGGAGCUGCUGAGCGAAGGACCAGGCUGGUGUUGUGGGCUCCAUCGUGUGGCCCCAGCUCCUGCCUCAGCACCAGCAUCACCCGGUGCCAGGACCAUGGGGCCAGCCCUGCCCGGUGCUGCUGCACCUCUGUGGGGAUGGAGAUGGUGAGGAGGAUGAUGAAGAAGAGCCCAUGGAUCAGGAUGAGGAGAGAUUAACCCUUACCCUGCCGAAACCUCUGUGCAUCGAAGACGUGCACCAGCUCCCCACGCCACAGCGGCAGCACCAUGGUACGUGCAGCUCAGCAGUGAACCUCCAGCAUUCCUGUCGUCAUUCGCAUCAUCCCGGAUCCAUCCCAGAGAUGCAGGAAGAUCCCUCGAUGCCCCGUAGCGACCCAGAGAGACUCCUGGACACUCCAUAAAGCCCUGUACACCCUACAGGCAUCGCAUAGAGCCAUACAGUGACCCACAGACACCCGACAGCAACCAUUGGACCCAUAUAGACCCCAUAGUGACCCAUAGAUCCCCAUAACUACCCACAGAGACCACAGAGUGACCCACACACUGCCCCAUGGCAACCCAUAUCACCCCAUAGACACCCUCCACUGCCCCAUAGCAUCCUAUAGACCCACAACUCACACCCCACAGCUUUUAUUGACCACUGGCAUUGCAGUAACAGCAGCAGAAUCUGUAUACAUAGCACCCGAUAGGGAACCCCCUACCCCCCGUGGCCCGUAAGUGCCCCAACACCCGUGAAUUUUUUAGUCUCUUUCAUUCAUUUUUAUUCACUUUUUCAUAAUUUAUAAUUGCUUGUUUUCACUUUUCGUUGAAUUUCUUCGGUUUAAUUCACUUUUUAUUUGGUUUUUAGUCAAUUUUUGUUCACUUUUCAAGUUGCAGUCAGGCUGAUUCACUUUUUAUUCCCUUUUUAAUGACAUUAUGGUGGGUCUUGGCUAGGUGUGAGGCCAAGGCAGGGUUAAUAAAGGCCUGGGGGCAUGGUCGCCUUUAUUAACCCCACCUUGGCCUCACACCCAGCCCAGACCCACCGCAAUGUGAUCAUUAUGUGAUCGCUAUGGGGUCUCUAUGAGUCUCUAGUGGUCGCUGUGCAGCUCUAUGAGAUGUCUACAGGGGCUGUGGGGCUCUAUGAGUUUCUCUGGGUCGCUAUGGGGCAUUUAAAAAAAAAAAAAAAGUUAUUUAAAAAUAAGAGACUAAAAAGCAAAUAAAUCUGAAGAAAAAGAUGAAUAGAAAAGCAAAUAAAGCUGGAUAAAACUGCGUAAAGAUAAUAAAAAGCAAAAGUGAAUAAUGUGAUUACAAAUUAUUACAAAGCAAAUAAAAAGGAAUAAAAGUGAACAAGGCUGAAUGAAUCUCGAAUAAAAGUUCAUAAAA
This 1465-nucleotide long non-coding RNA is filed under the name Strigops habroptila (Kakapo). Its description in RNAcentral is "lncRNA (ENSSHBG00005007331.1)". The record is from RNAcentral. Lineage: Eukaryota; Metazoa; Chordata; Aves; Psittaciformes; Psittacidae.